CCCUCUGGGUCCAACUCCCACCCGUGUUUAUUUACCUUGUUGCUUCGGCGGGCCCGCCUUAACUGGCCGCCGGGGGGCUUACGCCCCCGGGCCCGCGCCCGCCGAAGACACCCUCGAACUCUGUCUGAAGAUUGUAGUCUGAGUGAAAAUAUAAAUUAUUUAAAACUUUCAACAACGGAUCUCUUGGUUCCGGCAUCGAUGAAGAACGCAGCGAAAUGCGAUACGUAAUGUGAAUUGCAAAUUCAGUGAAUCAUCGAGUCUUUGAACGCACAUUGCGCCCCCUGGUAUUCCGGGGGGCAUGCCUGUCCGAGCGUCAUUUCUGCCCUCAAGCACGGCUUGUGUGUUGGGCCCCGUCCUCCGAUCCCGGGGGACGGGCCCGAAAGGCAGCGGCGGCACCGCGUCCGGUCCUCGAGCGUAUGGGGCUUUGUCACCCGCUCUGUAGGCCCGGCCGGCGCUUGCCGAUCAACCCAAAUUUUUAUCCAGGUGACCUCGGAUCAGGUAGGGAUACCCGUGAACUUAAGCAUAUAUAAGCGGAGGA
RNAcentral lists this ribosomal RNA (538 nucleotides) under Penicillium chrysogenum. RNAcentral describes it as "eukaryotic LSU rRNA". The stretch from base 164 to 316 matches the Rfam family "5.8S ribosomal RNA". Lineage: Eukaryota; Fungi; Ascomycota; Eurotiomycetes; Eurotiales; Aspergillaceae. The record is from RNAcentral.